Non-coding RNA from Oncorhynchus mykiss (rainbow trout), 1312 nucleotides. NCBI's taxonomy places the organism in Eukaryota, Metazoa, Chordata, Actinopteri, Salmoniformes, Salmonidae. The record is from RefSeq and is a predicted model, not a curated record.
AGAUGCGAUGUCUUCUCGCUGCAUAUUCAAGUGUGCUCUCAAGUUUCACAAGAAAGUUCUCCUAACAUCUCGUCUGUUUGGCUUUGUCACAUUUGCGUGGAGGGAAAGGAAGCAGCCUUCACUAUUAACACACCAAAAAGUCCCUCGUCUUCUCUUCUGCGCUCCAGCCGACUCUUUUAUCUGUGCCAUUUGAGCUUGUGAACUUCACAACAUACAGUAUUCAUACCAAGGUAUGUGCUCCAUUGGGCUGCCAUUGAAACAGAACAAAGGGGCAUCAGAAUUCUCAGACAGAGUCCGUCCGAGGUUGGGGGCAGGGGCUGGAACCAAAGUGCUGCGCGUCGCCAUGGAAACAGCGCCUGAGUGAUAAGCUGCACUGCACUUGGAGUGUGAAAACGCUUCACAGCCAUAUUUCUGUUUAUGGAAACGCUACGGAACCAGCUAGCAGCCACCGAUCAAGCUGUGAACAGCUCUCCCACUGAACAGAUCUCAUUGUGCCAUAUCUCAAGCUGUCUCGCACGCUCACACAUUUAGCCGAGCAAGAAUGAGACGAAGGAAAGAAAUACCAGCAACUUGAUAGAAAAACGUCUGAGAAAGAAAGUUGUGGCUUUCCUUUCAGUCAGUCAGCGAUGAGGCGUUUGAACAAGUUACAAGCUAAAAGCGCAUAGAAAGGAGGCGUCAUUAUCCUGUUCGUGUUGGAGAAAACUCCCUAAAACACUGCGUAUCAUUAUGUGGCUUAGUUAUAAUGUCCUUUGUGGUUGCUCAUUGUAAUAUAUUUUAGAACAGUGACUUGAUCUAGUCAAGUUAUCCCAUUAAUCUCUACUCCACAAGAAAGAAUCCUACAGCUCUUUUUUUCUUUCAUCAAAGAGAUUCUUCAUAGCCCAGAAUUUCUUCAAAGUAAAAGCCUCUUUUCAGUGUAACAGAUCAAAUUAGAGCAAGGACUGUCAUUAAUGUAGAGGAAGUCAUGUUGCCCGGAAUAAUAACAUGUUAAUGGGGAAACACUUCAGUUGGCUAAAGGACAUUAGGCGUACUAAAGAGACAGAAAGGAAGCCAUCACAGCGAGGCUAGAGUAGUUACAUCCCUCUUCUGAAUGAGGCACCAGCAGUGCAUUGAUGUGAUAAUGAUUUUCACAGUCUGCUAUUUACCUGCUGUUUACUUAGAAACAGCAUUGUAAAAUUGUUACCUAAUAUCUUACUUAAUAACUGCAGUUUAGUAUCUUUGAGAUUCAGUGGGAAAAAAGCACCUUUAGUACCAGAAUCGUAAGGUGUGAGUUGAUCACAACACAUCAACACACCAAUUAAAUUAUACAUUUUUA